GUGAGUAGGGCGGCCGACUGGUUAUUAAGGCGUAGGGAUUUGCCCAGUAGUGGGGGACAACAUGUGGAAACUCAUGCUAAUACCGCAUACGCCCUACGGGGGAAAGCAGGGGAUCUUCGGACCUUGCGCUAUUGGAGAAGCCUGCGUCGGAUUAGCUAGUUGGUGGGGUAAAGGCCCACCAAGGCGACGAUCCGUAGCUGGUCUGAGAGGAUGAUCAGCCACACUGGGACUGAGACACGGCCCAGACUCCUACGGGAGGCAGCAGUGGGGAAUCUUGGACAAUGGGCGCAAGCCUGAUCCAGCAAUACCGCGUGUGUGAAGAAGGACUGAGGUUUGUAAAGCACUUUCAGUGGGGAGGAAGGGUUUAAUGUUAAUACCAUUAAGCAUUGACGUUAUCCACAGAAGAAGCACCGGCUAACUCUGUGCCAGCAGCCGCGGUAAUACAGAGGGUGCAAGCGUUAAUCGGAAUUACUGGGCGUAAAGCGUGUGUAGGUGGUUAGGUAAGUUAGAUGUGAAAGCCCCGGGCUCAACCUGGGAAUUGCGUUUAAAACUGCUUAACUAGAGUACUGUAGAGGAUAGUGGAAUUUCCAGUGUAGCGGUGAAAUGCGUAGAUAUUGGAAGGAACACCAGUGGCGAAGGCGACUAUCUGGACAGAUACUGACACUCAGACACGAAAGCAUGGGGAGCAAACAGGAUUAGAUACCCUGGUAGUCCAUGCCGUAAACGAUGAGAACUUGCUGUUGGAUGCAUAAAGGCAUUUAGUAGCGGAGCUAACGCGUUAAGUUCUCCGCCUGGGGAGUACGGCCGCAAGGCUAAAACUCAAAGGAAUUGACGGGGGCCCGCACAAGCGGUGGAGCAUGUGGUUUAAUUCGAUGCAACGCGAAAAACCUUACCUACUCUUGACAUCCCGUGAACUUCCAGAGAUGGAUUGGUGCCUUCGGGAACACGGUGACAGGUGCUGCAUGGCUGUCGUCAGCUCGUGUCGUGAGAUGUUGGGUUAAGUCCCAUAACGAGCGCAACCCUUGUCCUUAGUUGCCAGCGCGUAAUGGCGGGGACUCUAAGGAGACUGCCGGUGAUAAACCGGAGGAAGGUGGCGACGACGUCAAGUCAUCAUGGCCCUUAUGAGUAGGGCUACACACGUGCUACAAUGGUCCGUACAGAGGGUUGCAAAGCCGCGAGGUGGAGCUAAUCCCAGAAAGCCGGUCGUAGUCCGGAUUGGAGUCUUCAACUCGACUCCAUGAAGUCGGAAUCGCUAGUAAUCGGGGAUCA
This 1269-nucleotide ribosomal RNA is filed under the name uncultured prokaryote. RNAcentral describes it as "partial 16S ribosomal RNA". It matches the Rfam family "Bacterial small subunit ribosomal RNA", at positions 86 to 1351 of the family's 1533-position model. The record is from RNAcentral.